This 641-nucleotide ribosomal RNA is filed under the name Streptosporangium sp. I13A-01687. Its description in RNAcentral is "bacterial SSU rRNA". It matches the Rfam family "Bacterial small subunit ribosomal RNA", at positions 100 to 758 of the family's 1533-position model. The record is from RNAcentral. Lineage: Bacteria; Bacillati; Actinomycetota; Actinomycetes; Streptosporangiales; Streptosporangiaceae.
GAACGGGUGAGUAACACGUGAGUAACCUGCCCCCGACUCUGGGAUAAGCCCGGGAAACUGGGUCUAAUACCGGAUACGACCACUUCUCGCAUGGGAUGGUGGUGGAAAGUUUUUUCGGUUGGGGAUGGACUCGCGGCCUAUCAGCUUGUUGGUGGGGUAACGGCCUACCAAGGCGACGACGGGUAGCCGGCCUGAGAGGGCGACCGGCCACACUGGGACUGAGACACGGCCCAGACUCCUACGGGAGGCAGCAGUGGGGAAUAUUGCGCAAUGGGCGAAAGCCUGACGCAGCGACGCCGCGUGGGGGAUGACGGCCUUCGGGUUGUAAACCUCUUUCAGCAGGGACGAAGUUGACGUGUACCUGCAGAAGAAGCGCCGGCUAACUACGUGCCAGCAGCCGCGGUAAUACGUAGGGCGCAAGCGUUGUCCGGAAUUAUUGGGCGUAAAGAGCUCGUAGGUGGCUUGUCACGUCGGGUGUGAAAGCUUGGGGCUUAACUCCAGGUCUGCAUUCGAUACGGGCUGGCUAGAGGUAGGUAGGGGAGAACGGAAUUCCUGGUGUAGCGGUGAAAUGCGCAGAUAUCAGGAGGAACACCGGUGGCGAAGGCGGUUCUCUGGGCCUUACCUGACGCUGAGGAGCGAAA